UGAAGCUACACCUGCUUUGAGACAAAACGUCAAAAAAGGUGAUCAAUUUGAGGAUGGAUUGCCGGAAGGGGCUGAAGGAGGAAUGGUUCAAAUAAUAUCUGAAAAGCCCUGGUGGGAGAAUCAAUUUCCCAGUUUCGUCACUACGACUCCCGACGAAGAAGCUUAGCCGGUCUAUGUGACUUAUUUUAUGAUGGGACAGCAUGCCCAGCAGGUCCAAAGGCUGAUGGCACAAUGAUUGUGACUACGGAUGCUAACUUUGGCCUUGUAAGAAAAAGGAGCUCCGGAAGAAGUGUGACAGAGCCCUUGAAAGGUAACAGCAUGUUUGUGAUGGAUGAGGAUGUAGAGGAAUAUCUCCUGUCACAUUCUGAUUGCUCCAAACCAACUGAAGUGAGUAAAUACUGUUAUGUUUUUUCUUGUCAUUCCUUUAUCAUUAGUCCUUAUUACCUCUUAAUUACGUUGCGGAUAGAUAACAAAGUUAUUUCUACAUUUGCAGAUGGUAAGUGUUGGGAUUUAGGAUCUGAGUAUGGGCGUCUUAGAGGUUUACGGUAUGUUGUUAUACUUAUAAUGGCUUGAAUAAGUACCUCUGUUUUCUUAACUAAUUAGGACUGUAGCAACGUCAAAGCUGGAAAUUUACUUCGGUUGCAAAACCAACAAAAAAAACUAGAUGUGACUGGUGUAUUUGGAGCCUCAUGCCGCCAUGAAAUACCAUUAAUGUUUUUGAACAUGACUCAUGGAGAAAGGUGCGUUAAUUUAAUUUAAUUUUUUUAAGAAGCUUGUGUUCAUUAAUCUGUGCAGAAAUGGUAAAAAAUCUAAAUGCUUUCCAGAAAUGCUGGAUUCUGUGUUAUCCAUUUGUCUUAUGUAUUUAUCAGACUUUUCUUUUGAAACAGGCUUGCAUAUCCAACGUUCAUCAUAUGUGAGCUGGAGAAAAGAUAUAAGGACAAAAACAUUAAUCUGCAUUUCAUAUAUGACAUUGCAUGUGUACUUUUUGCACAUAUGCAUGUGAGUGUCUUCCUUUCUAAUUUAAUAAACAUUUAUUUUUUUGAUAAUAACACACUGCAAUGUGUUGAUCAGAAAAUCGGAGAAGGAAUUCCUCAAGGUAUUUCAAUGGCUGUACCAGCAUUUCAUGUUUAUGGACAUAAA
This is a long non-coding RNA of Girardinichthys multiradiatus, 1140 nucleotides long. RefSeq lists it as uncharacterized. Lineage: Eukaryota; Metazoa; Chordata; Actinopteri; Cyprinodontiformes; Goodeidae. The record is from RefSeq and is a predicted model, not a curated record. The transcript has 3 exons.